AAUGAACGUUGGCGGCAUGGAUUAGGCAUGCAAGUCGAGCGAGAAGUCUAAGUUUGACGCUUCGGUUGAUUUCUUAGAUGGAAAGCGGCGAAAGGGAGAGUAACGCGUAGUUAUCUGCCCCAAGGUCCGGAAUAGCUGAGGGAAACUUCAGGUAAUGCCGGAUAAUAUCCCCGGAUCAAAGGUGUGAUUCCGCCUUGGGAGGAGACUGCGUACUACUAGCUUGUUGGUGGGGUAAUGGCCUACCAAGGCAAUGAUGGUUAGCGGGCGUGAGAGCGUGGCCCGUCUCACUGGGACUGAGACACUGCCCAGACACCUACGGGUGGCUGCAGUCGAGAAUCUUCGGCAAUGGACGAAAGUCUGACCGAGCGAUGCCGCGUGCGGGAUGAAGGCCUUCGGGUUGUAAACCGCUGUCAGUUGGGAGGAAGGCUCCGUGAAGAGCGGAGUUUGACCUAUCUUCAGAGGAAGUCCGGGCUAAGUUCGUGCCAGCCGCCGCCGUAACAC
This 501-nucleotide ribosomal RNA is filed under the name uncultured bacterium. RNAcentral's name for it is "bacterial SSU rRNA". It matches the Rfam family "Bacterial small subunit ribosomal RNA", at positions 29 to 526 of the family's 1533-position model. The record is from RNAcentral.